This is a long non-coding RNA of Cyprinodon tularosa, 1209 nucleotides long. RefSeq lists it as uncharacterized. The record is from RefSeq and is a predicted model, not a curated record. Lineage: Eukaryota; Metazoa; Chordata; Actinopteri; Cyprinodontiformes; Cyprinodontidae. The transcript has 3 exons.
UAAAUCUAAUGUCACAACAACUGAUUUUCAUUCUUUAAAGUGUUAAUCAAAUAGGGCACUUCUUCAUUUAUAUUGUUACUGUAAAGUCCUGAGUUGGGCAUUAACUUUUCAUCCUUAGAUAAUUUAUCCACUUGAAAAAAGGACAGUUUUCCUUAACUCACUUGGAGAGUCCCAAGAAGAUAUGAAAAGGUGUUUGGAAGCAAUAAGGGCAUCUAUGAGAUGCAAAGGUAUGACUCCAACAUGCCAUCCAGCAAGAUAUGGUUUCAUGUGAAGUGUUGAAAUUUGCUUAGUGCAUCCUGGAAAACCAGACUCUGAACUUUCCAUCAACAGCAGAAGCUGUUAAUACCAUGAGACGCAACAUUGCUUACACACUUCUAUUAGAAUUACGUGUCUUUUGAACUUUUUUUAUUCAGUUCUUAUGUGGCUGGAAUGCUAUCUUGUGUGUAUCAUCAUGCACCCACUAAAAAAUGUAGUUAGGUCAGCUAUUUUUAUCUAAUUAGAAACAUUAAGAUAUUGAACAUGUUAGUGUUUAUGUCAAAUUAUUAGCGAAGAACAUUUCAAUACACAUGACCUUGAUCUCUAAUAAAUAAACUACACAUAACACAGCCCAGUGUACAGUGUACAAUGUGCAGUAACAGGACUUGUAUAUGUUUAUGAGAUCAGACCUUAUCAAAAAGUGAUGAUUAGAUGACUGAGAUAUGCACAGAGGAUUAUUGUUGUUCAACUUUCAAAAGAACACUAACAAAUGAAAAUAAUAAAAAAAAAAUCUCCCCAAAAAACAAACGCAAAAACAAUUACCAUUAAGUUUAUUUUGUAGCAUUGAAUUAAAGCUGCGGUCUGAUUUACUCCAGAGUCAGUGGAGAACCUGUGCAGACACUGUGGCAGUGGGGACACAGAAGAUCACAUGUGAGUAAGACAACAAUGUAAUGCAGUGACAAGUAAAUUAAAGCUAACCAUAUACCAUCGUUACAAUAGUUGCAAAGUCAUUAGAUAUACAAAAAAUCAUAAUGAAAUAAAGAAACACCCAAGGCAGUUAAGUGUAAUUUUAUAAAUAUUUUUAAAAGUACAGUCAUAAAGUCCUUCUUAAAUACAGUUCCUUAUCAGUGGCGGCCGGCCCAUAGGGGGCGCUGGGGCACCGCCCUCCCUAAUAAGAAGAGAGAAACGUAAAAUAUAUUUUUAGAAAUUAACUCAUAAAUGUCAGUUUUACUC